This 1256-nucleotide ribosomal RNA is filed under the name Leuconostoc pseudomesenteroides. RNAcentral describes it as "bacterial SSU rRNA". It matches the Rfam family "Bacterial small subunit ribosomal RNA", at positions 238 to 1475 of the family's 1533-position model. The record is from RNAcentral. Lineage: Bacteria; Bacillati; Bacillota; Bacilli; Lactobacillales; Lactobacillaceae.
GCAUUAGUUAGUUGGUGGGGUAAAGGCCUACCAAGACAAUGAUGCAUAGCCGAGUUGAGAGACUGAUCGGCCACAUUGGGACUGAGACACGGCCCAAACUCCUACGGGAGGCUGCAGUAGGGAAUCUUCCACAAUGGGCGAAAGCCUGAUGGAGCAACGCCGCGUGUGUGAUGAAGGCUUUCGGGUCGUAAAGCACUGUUGUAUGGGAAGAACAGCUAGAAUAGGGAAUGAUUUUAGUUUGACGGUACCAUACCAGAAAGGGACGGCUAAAUACGUGCCAGCAGCCGCGGUAAUACGUAUGUCCCGAGCGUUAUCCGGAUUUAUUGGGCGUAAAGCGAGCGCAGACGGUUGAUUAAGUCUGAUGUGAAAGCCCGGAGCUCAACUCCGGAAUGGCAUUGGAAACUGGUUAACUUGAGUGCAGUAGAGGUAAGUGGAACUCCAUGUGUAGCGGUGGAAUGCGUAGAUAUAUGGAAGAACACCAGUGGCGAAGCGGCUUACUGGACUGUAACUGGACUGUAACUGACGUUGAGGCUCGAAAGUGUGGGUAGCAAACAGGAUUAGAUACCCUGGUAGUCCACACCGUAAACGAUGAACACUAGGUGUUAGGAGGUUUCCGCCUCUUAGUGCCGAAGCUAACGCAUUAAGUGUUCCGCCUGGGGAGUACGACCGCAAGGUUGAAACUCAAAGGAAUUGACGGGGACCCGCACAAGCGGUGGAGCAUGUGGUUUAAUUCGAAGCAACGCGAAGAACCUUACCAGGUCUUGACAUCCUUUGAAGCUUUUAGAGAUAGAAGUGUUCUCUUCGGAGACAAAGUGACAGGUGGUGCAUGGUCGUCGUCAGCUCGUGUCGUGAGAUGUUGGGUUAAGUCCCGCAACGAGCGCAACCCUUAUUGUUAGUUGCCAGCAUUCAGAUGGGCACUCUAGCGAGACUGCCGGUGACAAACCGGAGGAAGGCGGGGACGACGUCAGAUCAUCAUGCCCCUUAUGACCUGGGCUACACACGUGCUACAAUGGCGUAUACAACGAGUUGCCAACCCGCGAGGGUGAGCUAAUCUCUUAAAGUACGUCUCAGUUCGGAUUGUAGUCUGCAACUCGACUACAUGAAGUCGGAAUCGCUAGUAAUCGCGGAUCAGCACGCCGCGGUGAAUACGUUCCCGGGUCUUGUACACACCGCCCGUCACACCAUGGGAGUUUGUAAUGCCCAAAGCCGGUGGCCUAACCUUUUAGGAAGGAGCCGUCUAAGGCAGGACAGAUGAC